Molecule: ribosomal RNA, 518 nt
Filed under: uncultured bacterium
Lineage: Bacteria
Description: bacterial SSU rRNA
Rfam family: Bacterial small subunit ribosomal RNA
Source: RNAcentral
CUUAAGUGGGGAAUAACGCAUCGAAAGGUGUGCUAAUACCGCAUAAUCUCUGAGGAGAAAAGCAGGGGAUCGCAAGACCUUGCGCUUUUGGAGCGGCCGAUGCCUGAUUAGCUUGUUGGUGAGGUAAAGGCUUACCAAGGCUUCGAUCAGUAGCUGGUCUGAGAGGACGGCCAGCCACACUGGGACUGAGACACGGCCCAGACUCCUACGGGAGGCAGCAGUGGGGAAUUUUGGACAAUGGGGGCAACCCUGAUCCAGCCAUGCCGCGUGAGUGAAGAAGGCCUUCGGGUUGUAAAGCUCUUUCAGCCGGAACGAAACGGUUACGGUUAAUACCCGUAACUACUGACGGUACCGGAAGAAGAAGCACCGGCUAACUACGUGCCAGCAGCCGCGGUAAUACGUAGGGUGCGAGCGUUAAUCGGAAUUACUGGGCGUAAAGCGUGCGCAGGUGGUUUUGUAAGUCAGAUGUGAAAUCCCCGGGCUUAACCUGGGAACUGCGUUUGAAACUACAAGGCUAG